CUUCCGGGCCCACCAUCUCCGUUAACAAGCUCAGAGCUCUUGAUUGCAUGUGGCACAACCUUGGGGAAAAGGUUGUCACCGUCAAGAACAAAGGCCUUGAACAUCUUGGCUGGGGGGACUGAGGUAGCAACCUCCAUUUCAUAAGUGACAACACCCAUGAUUCUACACUAGGAGUUUGAAAAUGUUCAAAUUUGAGAAGAUGAAACAAAGAGAAAAAGAGGAAGAAUAACUGAGUUUUUGAGUUGUGGGAAGAAGUGAGAACUAAGAUGUAUUUAUAGUUGCUAUUACCUUCAAAGAAUUUGCAGUGGUCAAAAGAAGCACCCUGCAUGAAAUUUUCCAUAGUAAAUGGCCAAUUGAUCAUUUUAAAAUGUUGUACCAACCUAUAGAAGAAAAAAAAAAAAACAUUUUAUUAAUGCCUGGUGCCAUGCGGCCUUUUGGCAUGUAAACAGACUGCAAAAUUUCAAUAUAAUAACAGCAAAGUGGAUAUCAGAGGGCAGCAACAAUUUGACAAAAUUAAGUUGUGAAGAUGAAGGCACCUUUCGUUGACUAACUAUUUCAUUAUCAUAAGUGAGAAAAUAAAGACCAAAAGAUAUAAAUAAAUAAAUAUAUAUAUAUAUAUAUAUAUUUAUCAAAUUAAAGCUUGAGAAGACUUGGUGGACUAUCUAGAAAGCAAGUACUGAAAGAGGUAAUAGGUAUAUGGAAUCCUUGUAUGACUUUUUAAAAAUAUACAAAAAUAAAAUAAAAUUUAUUUUUUUAUUUUUAUCUUGCACAUUUAAAUAAAUUUUUAUAAAUAUAUCUUUUUAAAUAUAAAUAUAUUAAUUUUAAUAAAUCCAAAAUAAAAUUUAUAUUAUUAAAUAAAAAAUUAAUUUAUUAAAUAUAUAUAAGAUACAAAUAUAAGGUCAAUAUUAUAUUACUUAUUUAUGUAUCCAUGCUUAAUAAAAAAUUUUAAAUCAUAUGCAUUUUUAUUCCCUCUUUAAAAUUUAAUUUCCAUCCCAUCUCAUUACCAUAAAAAAUCUGAUUCCUCAUCAAAUUUAACUAAGAUUGACAUCCCUUUACCUCCAAUUAAGUUUUAAACCUUAGAACUUAACUGUUGGGUACUUGGAACAUCUUGAUUACGACCAUUUCUCAUUGGUUGGAUGAAUUAUGGCUGUUUUUUAUAUAAUUGGGUUUUCUGCAACAUGAGCCACAAGUGAACUGCUAGACGACCCUGCUUUGAAACUUCUCUUCAUCUACGUGUUUGACAAUUCUUAGAGUUUGAAAUUUUCCCAAUGUUAUAUCAUUUCAUCAAAAAAAUAAAAUAAAAUUUUUCUAUACUAUCUGAUGUCACUAUUGACGAGAGAUUUAUCACACUUGAAACCAUAUAAACAUAUAUCAAAAACUUUAUAUAUAUAUGUUAGAUAUUAUUUGAAUCCAAAAACUUAAACUAUUGAGUUUUUAGAUCUUUUAUAUAUAUAUAUAUAUAUAAUAUCUCAUUUAUAUUUUUUAGUAAUGUUGAAUUUUUUACUUACAUAUGAACCAUCCAAUAAUCUUUCUCAUUCACUUGUAAGCUUUCAUCAAAUCCCACAUCGAUUUUUCGUGCGAGUAAAUCCUAUCAAUACUUUUUUUGAACCAAAAAACCUCACAUCUCUAGUGUAUUUUUAGGGCAGAUCAUAUACUCAACCUUGUAGUCUAGGUUAUCUUAGUACCCCUCAAGUUUGCACUCGAUGUUGAUUCAAUACAUUGCCGAGUUUCACUUUUGCACACUCACUACAUUCAGUCAAACCUUUUUACAUUGAUGCCGGCAUUUGAGCGUAUAAAAUUGAUGGACGCGAUUAACUUCCGAUUUGUCAACAAUCUUUUCAUUUAGUAAUACUACUUAAAUUCGAAUUCGUGACCUUGGCUCUAAUAGCACUUAUUGGGCAUAGGGAUGACAAGCUCGUUUCGAACCCGAUCCGACUUUAUAUUCACAAAUCCCAAACUCGAUUCAACCCAAAAGUUUUUUUAUUUUUUUCAUACUCAAAUCCGAUCCAAUAUUAUAUAAAUUGUAUCCAACUCAACCUGACCUUAAAUUAAUAAAAUAUUAUUUUUUUAAUAUAAAAAUAUUAUUUUUUAAUAUAAAUAUAAAAUUAUAUAAAUAUAUAUAAAUAAAAAAUUAAAUAAUUAAUUAAAAAAUAAUUUAUAUAUAUCGAAUCGGGUGUGAUCGGAUUUGCCUAAAAUUCAACCUUGAUCCGAAACUCGAUUUUCAAAAAAAAAAAUAAUGUUAUGAGAUCGAAUCAAAUCGGAAUCCAUCGAGAGAGUAGUUGGAUUGUCAACUCUAGUUGAGCUUAAAUCGAUAAAUACAAUAACGUAAAAAUAAUAUAUAAUAAUAAACUUAUAAUAAUAAUUAAUAAUUAAUAACGUAAAAGAAAUAAAGCACAUAAAAAACAAGAAGUUUUUACCCAGUACAUAGCGUGUUCAUAUGGUUUUUGCUUAGGCUUGUGUUGUAUUCAAGAAUGGCUGCCACAGGUCAAUUGGCCUUUCUCUGUUCGUAGAGUAUAAUAUUUUGUCAACAAAUUGUACCUAAUGCCGCAAACAAUGUUAGGCAAAAAAUGAUUAGAACGCCCCUUCAAAGUUGACUUACUCUUAAUGCUGCUGGCUUCCUGAUUUUUACGUUCUUUUUCUUUCAAUAUCAUGCAUCCUAGCAAGAGGCUUUAGUCUAACAAUUAGGCUGGAUGUUAGUCUGUGCGAUACGCUUCAAUCUGGCAACAAGUUACAUCUUUUAGCUAGCAGAGUUCAUCAGACAUGACCCAAUUUGUCCAAAUCUGAUUUUUUUUUUUUUUUGGGUGAGGGCAGGAGCAUAUGGUUAAAUGACCCUGGCAGCCAUGGCUGUUUGUUGGAGCUCAGGCUUGAUGGAUUUAAAAUUCCGAAAAAACUAGGUGUCUAUGUCUCACAAGCAGGUUGGAUGUCUAAUGAAGAAGAAUCAAUUAAGGAAUUUCUGGCAGAAAUAGUUUGGCUGCUUAGGUAUCUUUUCUGAAAAAAUUGAUCAUACCAUGUGUUCAGUAAUUUGGCAAAUCUUGAUAGAUGAAGAUAAAUGGAUAAUGCAGCAACUCAUUUGCAGUACAUUGCUUGAAUCCGUCACAGUUUCUAGUAAAUGCUCCUUAAUUCUCCUGGACCAACAAUGCAAAAAGUAAAAGGUAAAAAAAAAAAAAAAAAAACAAAAAGCAACUCCCUCACACAAGCACAAAUCCAUUCUACAUCUAAUUUAUGAUCAUUGAAGUGGAUCCAAUCUCAAUAUUGGGAUUUUCAGUAGGCGCCAGGAUUUGCCAGGAGGUAGGCUUCAACAGCCUUGAAUAAUUCCAAGGCCUUUUCUUUGCCUGCCUUGAUUCCCUCUUCUGUGAUCUCGAAGUCACCAAUGGUGUAAUAUUUACUAGUGAUAUUACAUAUGGAUCCCCCGGCAGGAGAUGGUUCCAACUUGACAUUGUUAAUCAACAGAUUAUUGGUUAAAUCAAUAGAUUAUUUGUGCCACUUUGUGAAUCCCAUCCUAUCUCACAUGUCAACAUGGUUAAAACGAUGAUCAUACAUGAAAGAUUUAGGCUCAAUUUGAUGCGUGUUCGGUCAUAAAAUAGCAUCCAUGACGCCAGGGAGUCCCUCCCACCAUGCAUCCAAAGGGGGUCUUUGGGUGUACUUGUUGAUAAUUGUUUGUUAUUUUCCUGGGAAUAAAACAUGUUGCAAGUUGCAAUAAAGCAACAAAAUAACAUGAAAUGGUUAGAAAUCAUGACAGUACAUGUCGCAAAAUUUAUCCGAGUGACAGCAUAGGGCCAGCUUUCAUCCUGUCGAGAUCCUGAUCAGCCAAAAUUGAUCAAUGUUUGUGUCAAAUUUGAACAUGGUUAUGUACCUAUGUUCAUGUAAGAUAAACAAAAACUGAAACUUUUGAGAAUGCUCCUUUUAUCCACAUUAAAUAUAUAUAAUUUUCUAAUUGCUCUUCAAUUAGGCCCCCUGUUUUUCCCAUAAUUCUCUCUUUGCCCCCACUUAAGUUUUUAUAACCUUGAACCCUUGAACUUCACUGUUGGGUACUUAGAACAUCUUGACCUUCAAUGCCCUUCGAAAAUAGAAUUGAUUGAUUAUUUUGCAGAGAAUUUUUAGGCGUGGAGAUGUGAACCUGAAGCUGCAGUAUUUAUAGAGUGAGAUCGAAGAACAGCUUUUCUAGGUGAUUUCUUCAUACUAUACUGGACGGUUUCAGUUUGGCAACGUAAUCAUUAGUUUUCACUAGACAAUUGAUUCAGGUUUGUGUAUUCUUCGAUCAAGAACAAAUUUAUGGAUCUUGAAAGCUGUCAAUAUCAGAAGAUUAAAAAGAAAGAACUCUAAUAUUUUAAGCAUGGAAGACCUUGAAUCAAGUGCGUGGACUGUUACGAACUCGCAACUAUGUUGACUAACUUAGAAAAGGGUUUUGAAGUUAGGUUCACUUGCAGCUUUUAGCCACAGGUGAACCAAAGACGCUGCUUCAUAGCAUAUUUCUCCUCAGUGUUAUAUGUAUAUAUUGUUUAUCAGGAGUUGUGGACUUAGUCUUACAGCCCAUAUCAAGUUAUUAGGGGGAAAUUUUAGGCAACGAAUGUCAAAUUCUUUAUGACUUUAGGUUCAUAUCUUGGAAAUAGGAGGGAUUUGGAUUUCAUCAUCACUCCUGGUUCACCUUAAAAAAUUUAUGACAGAAAAAAAAAAAAGAAAUUGCAAAUAAUAAAAGCUUGAUUGCUAUAUAUUUUUCAUUUCAUGUAUCAAAUAUAAUACAACUCAAACUCCUUAAUUAUAUAAUGAAAACACAGACGAUCACGGCCAGAGACCACCACUCUUAUUAGCCAUUGAAGGAAAGUUUGGCAAAAAGCAAAUAAGAAAAAUCAAAAUCACACCAUUAAAAGGGAUAUGAUAUGAAGAAUAGCAAGCAGGAGCUGCGAAAUGAAAGCAACCUAGUUGUAGAGAUCAGGAUUUGCCAAGAGGUAAGCUUCAACAGCCUUGUACAUUCCGGAGGCCCUUUCUUUGCCAGCCUUAAUUUGCUCUUCAUUGAUCUCAAUGUCACCAAUGGUAUAAUACUUGCUGGUGCUCUUGCAAAUUGAUCCUCCAUCUGGUGCUGCCACAAACUUGGUCUCAUAACUGAUUUUCUCAAGUGUGUUCACGAAAGCAUCUCCUUCGAUCACACUAUAACUGUAUGAGAAGUUCUCCUUGUCUAUUCCUUCAACCUUUUGUUUCGCAUACUUGAAUUGGCUGCCUACAAUUGUUACCAAGCAAAAAUCUUACAUACUAUUGUAUUUCUCAAAAUUAGAAAAUGGAAAGGAAUUCAUGUGGCAAGAAAUGAAAACUAACCUUCACCAAAAGUAAUCUUCUUGAUACUUCCAGGCCCACCAUCUCCUUCAACAAGCUCAGAACUCUUGAUUGCUUGUGGCACAACCUUGGGGAAAAGAUUGUCACCGUCAAGAACAAAGGCCUUGAACAUUUGGCUGGGGGGAUUGAGGUAGCUACCUCCAUUUCAUACGUGACAACACCCAUGAUUCUACAAUAGGAGUUUGAAAAUGUUCAAAUUUGAGGAAGAUAAAACAGAGAGAAAAAGAGGAUGAUUAACUGAGUAUUUUGAGAUGUGGGAAGAAGCGAGAACUAAGAUGGUAUUUAUAGUUGCUAUACUUUCAAAGAAUUUGCAGUGGUCAAGAAAAGCACCCUGCAUGAGAAUUUCCAUGGUAAACGGCUAAUUGAUCAUUUUAAAAUGUUGUACCAACCUAUAGGAGCAAAAAAAAAAAAAAAAUCAUUUGACCAUUUUGUUAAUAGAUGGUGCCAUGGGGCCUUUUGGCAUGUAUACAGUCUGCAAAAUUUCAAUAUAAUAACAGCAAAGUGGAUUUCAGAAGGCAGCAACAAUUUGACAAAAUUAAGUUGUGAAGAUGAAGGCGCCUUUGGUUGACUAACGACUUAAUUAUCGUAAGUGAGAAAAUAAAGACCAAAAGAUAUAAAUAACUAAAUAUAUUUUUUUUUUAUCAAAUUAAAGCUUGAGAAGACUUGGUGGACUAUCUAGAAAGCAAGUAGCGGAAGAAGUAAUAGUUAUUUGGAAUCCAUGUACCCAUGACUUUUUUAAAAUAUACGAAAAUAAAAUAUAAUAAAAUUUAUUUUUAUUUAACAUAUUUAAAUAUUUUUUAUAAAUAUAUCUUUUUUAAAUAUAAAUAUAUUAAUUUUCAUAAAUCUAAAAUAAAAUUUAUAUUAUUAAAUAAAACAUUAAUUUAUUAAAUAUAUAUAAAUUACAAUAACAAAAUCCAUAUUAUAUUAUCCAUCUUUAUACCCGUAUUCGAUAAAAAAAUUUAAAUCAUAUACAUUUUUAUCCCUUCCUUAAAAUUUAAUAUCCAUCCCAUCUCAAUACCAUAAAAAAUCUUAUUCCUAUUGAAUUUAAAGAAGAUUUGACAUCCCUGUUUACCUCCAAUUAAGUUUUUAUAACCUUGAACUUCACUGUUGGGUAUUCGGAACAUCUUGAUUACUACCAUUUCUCAUUGGUUGGAUGAAUUAUGGCUAUUUUUUGUACUUGGGUUUUCUGCACAUGAGCCAUAAGUGAACCGCCAGACGACCCUGCUUUGAAACUUCUCUUUAUCUACAUGUUUGGCUAUUCUUGGAGUUUGAAAUUUUCCCAAUGUUAUAUCAUUUCAUCAAAAAAAUAAAAUAAAAUAAAAUUUCUCUAUACUAUCUGAUGUCACUAUGUCAGCAUCCUUUUGGAAAAUGGUAGUGGCAUUCAUCAUAUCAAUUACCCAAAAUUUUACCAUAAACCCUUUUCUUUAAAAACGUGGGGAAGCCUUUGUGGAUUUAAAUUUCCAUAAUAAUUUGUCUUCCAGGUUGCAUCAAGGAAUAUGUGUCAGAAUAAGUUUCAUAUUUCUUCUGAAACUUGACUUUGUUAUGUUCAAUAUAUAAUUAGUAAAUCUUGAAAGAUGAAGAUGCUGGACUCAUCAUUUUCAAUGGAUGGCCUGAUCUCACAACAAUUUAUUAAUGCAGUUGACAUUUACAGUUCAAGCUUGCAGGUAAUCUCAGACAAACUAUGAACUCUUAUUAGCAAUCUGAAGGCCAUAUCAUAUGGACUGACAGACAACUGCAAAAACUAAAAAAGUAAAAAAGAAAAGGCAAUUCUCUCUCACUCAAAGCGCACAUAUGUUCCACACUGUCUGAUCAUUGAAGUGGAUGCUAUUUCAAUAAUGGGAUUUUUAAUAGGCAUCUGGAUUUGCUAGGAGGUAGGCUUCUAUAGCUUUGAACAAUCCCAAAGCCUUUUCUUUGCCUGCCUUGAUUGCCUCUUCCUUGAGCUCAAAGUCAUCAAUGGUGUAAUACUUACUAGUAGUCUUACACACGGAUCCCCCAGCUGCAGAGAGCUUUAACUUUGUCUCAUAAGUGAUUUUCUCAAGUUUGUUCAUCAAAGCAUCGCCUUCGAUCACGCUGUAACGACACACAAAAUUUUCUUUGUCUAAUGCUUCUACCUUCUGCUUCACGUAAUUGAAUUGGCUUCCUAAGAAUGGAAAGACAAAUAUUAAAAUGGAGCUGCAUAUCUAAGUUCCAAUUCAAUAUAUUAUUCAAAGUAUUUAGUUGCAUCUAUAAAUUAAUUGACUAACCUUCUUCAAAAGUAACUUUCUUGAUGCUCCCAGGCUCACCAUUGCCUUCAAUGUACUCAACACUCUUAAAAGCCUGAGGAACAAUCUUAGGAAUGAGCUUGUCACCAUCAAGGAUACAAGCCUUAAACAUCUUGGCUGGUGGGAUUGUAGUAACAAUCUCAGAUUCAUAAGUGAAAACUCCCAUGAUCACCGAGUGACUUGGAAAUGAUCGAAGAAUGAAAAUAGAAUUGAUUGCUUAUUUUGCAGAGAAUUUUUAGGUGUGGAGAUGUGAACCCGAAGCUGCAUUAUUUAUAGAGUGAGAUUAAAGAACAGCUUUUCUAGGUGAUUGCUUCAUAUUAUAUUGGAUGGUUUCAGUUUGGCGAUGUAAUCAUUAGUUUUCAAUUGACAGUUGAUUCUGGUUUGUGCAUUCUUCGAUCAAGAACAAAUUUAUGGAUCUUGAAAGCAGUCAAUAUCAGAAGAAGAUUAAAAAUAAAGAACUCUAAUAUUUUAAGCAUGGAAGACAUUGAAUCAAGUGCUUCAACUGUUAGGAACUCGUAACUAUGUGGUAAAUUGUAAUUGGAAAUGGAAUGACUAACUUAUAUAAGGGUUUUGAAGUUAGAUUCACUUGCAGCUUUUAGCCACAGGUGAACCAAAGACCCUGCUUCAUGGCUUAUUUCUGCUCUCACUGUUCACAUGUUUUUAUUGUUUAUCAGCUGUCAUAGAUAGUCGUGGACUUGGUCCCACAGCCCAUAUCAAGUUAUUAGCCUGGUUCACCUCAAAAGAUUUAUGACAAAAGAAAAAGAAAUUGCAAAUAAUAAAAGCUUGAUUACUAUAUUUUUUUCAUUUCAUAUAUCAAAGAUAAUACAACUCAAACACCUUAAUUAUAUAAUAAAAAUAGAGAUGAUCACAGCCAGAGACCAUCAUUCUUAUUAGCCAUUGAAGGAAAGUUUGUCAAAAAGCAAAAAAGAAAAAUCAAAUUCACACCAUUAAAAGGGAGAUGAUAUGAAGAAUAGCAAGCAGGAGCUGUGAAAUGAAAGCAACCUAGUUGUAGAGAUCAGGAUUUGCCAAGAGGUAAGCUUCAACAGCCUUAUACAUUCCGGACGCCCUUUCUUUGCCAGCCUUAAUUUGCUCUUCAUUGAUCUCAAUUUCACCAAUGGUGUAAUACUUGCUGGUGCUCUUGCAAAUUGAUCCUCCAUCUGGUGCUGCCACAAACUUGGUCUCAUAACUGAUUUUCUCAAGUGUGUUCAUCAAAGCAUCUCCUUCGAUCACACUAUAACUGUAUGAGAAGUUCUCCUUGUCUAUUCCUUCAACCUUUUGUUUCACAUACUUGAAUUGGCUGCCUACAUUUGUUACCAAGCAAAAAUCUUACAUACUAUUAUAUUUCUCAAAAUUAGAAAAUGGAAAGGAAUUCAUGUGGCAAGAAAUGGAAACUAACCUUCACCAAAAGUAAUCUUCUUGAUACUUCCGGGCCCACCAUCUCCUUCAACAAGCUCAGAACUCUUGAUUGCUUGUGGCACAACCUUGGGGAAAAGAUUGUCACCGUCAAGAACAAAGGCCUUGAACAUCUUGGCUGGGGGGAUUGAGGUAGCUACCUCCAUUUCAUACGUGACAACACCCAUGAUUCUACAAUAGGAGUUUGAAAAUGUUCAAAUUGGAGGAAGAUAAAAACAGAGAGAAAAAGAGGAUGAUUAACUGAGUAUUUUGAGAUGUGGGAAGAAGCGAGAACUAAGAUGGUAUUUAUAGUUGCUGUACUUUCAAAGAAUUUGCAGUGGUCAAAAAAAGCACCCUGCAUGAGAAUUUCCAUGGUAAAUGGCUAAUUGAUCAUUUUAAAAUGUUGUACCAACCUAUAGGAGCAAAAAAAAAAAAUCAUUUGACCAUUUUGUUAAUAGAUGGUGCCAUGGGGCCUUUUGGCAUGUAUACGGACUGCAAAAUUUCAAUAUAAUAACAGCAAAGUGGAUUUCAGAAGGCAGCAACAAUUUGACAAAAUUAAGUUGUGAAGAUGAAGGCGCCUUUGGUUGACUAACGACUUAAUUAUCGUAAGUGAGAAAAGAAAGACCAAAAGAUAUAAAAAAAUAAAUAUAAUAUUAUAUAUAUAUUUAUUCUAUCAAAUUAAAGCUCGAGAAGACUUGGUGGACUAUCUAGAAAGCAAGUGAAAGAAGUAAUAGGUAUUUGGAAUACAUGUACCCGUGACUUUUUUAAAAUAUACGAAAAUAAAAUAAAAAUUUUUUUAUUUUUAUUUUGCAUAUUUAAAUAUUUUUUAUAAAUAUAUCUUUUUUAAACAUAAAUACAUUAAUUUUAAUAAAUCUAAAAUAAAUUUUAUAUUAUUAAAUAAAAAAAUUAGUUUAUUAAAUAUAUAUAAAUUACAAGUAUAAAAUCAAUAUUAUAUUAUCCAUCUUUAUACCCGUAUUCGAUAAAAAAAUUUAAAUCAUAUACAUUCUUAUCCCUUCCUUAAAAUUUAAUAUCUUGAAUUUAAAGAAGAUUUGACAUCCCUUUUUACCUCCAAUUAAAUUUUUAUAACCUUGAACUUCACUGUUGGGUAUUCGGAACAUCUUGAUUACUACCAUUUCUCAUUGGUUGGAUGAAUUAUGGCUAUUUUUUGUACUUGGGUUUUCUGCACAUGAGCCAUAAGUGAACUGCCAGACGACCCUGCUUUGAAACUUCUCUUUAUCUACAUGUUUGGCAAUUCUUGGAAUUUGAAAUUUUCCCAAUGUUAUAUCAUUUCAUCAAAAAAAUAAAAUAAAAUAAAAUUUCUCUAUACUAUCUGAUGUCACUAUGUCAGCAUCCUUUUGGAAAAUGGUAGUGGCAUUCAUCAUAUCAAUUACCCAAAAUUUUACUAUAAACCCUUUUCUUUAAAAACGUGGGGAAGCCUUUGUGGAUUUAAAUUUCCAUAAUAAUUUGUCUUCCAGGUUGCAUCAAGGACUAUGUGUCAGAAUAAGUUUCAUAUUUCUUCUGAAACUUGACUUUGUUAUGUUCAAUAUAUAAUUAGUAAAUCUUGAAAGACGAAGAUGCUGGACUCAUCAUUUUCAAUGGAUGGCUUGAUCUCACAACAAUUUAUUAAUGCAGUUGACAUUUACAGUUCAAGCUUGCAGGUAAUCUCAGACAAACUAUGAACUCUUACUAGCAAUCUGAAGGCCAUAUCAUAUGGACUGACUAACAACUACAAAAAAAAAAAAUGUAAAAAAGAAAAGGCAAUUCUCUCUCACUCAAAGCACACAUAUGUUCCACACUGUCUGAUCAUUGAAGUGGAUGCUAUUUCAAUAAUGGGAUUUUUAAUAGGCAUCUGGAUUUGCUAGGAGGUAGGCUUCAAUAGCUUUGAACAAUCCCAAAGCCUUUUCUUUGCCUGCCUUGAUUCCCUCUUCCUUGAUCUCAAAGUCACCAAUGGUGUAAUAUUUACUAGUAGUCUUACACACGGAUCCCCCAGCUGCAGAGGGCUCUAACUUAUAAAAGGGUUUUGAAGUUAGAUUCACUUGCAGCUUUUAGCCACACGUGAAUCAAAGACCCUGCUUCAUUGCAUACUUUCACUGUUCACAUGUGCAUAUUGUUUAUCAGCUCUCAUAGACAGUUGUGGACUUGGUCUCACAGCUGAUAUCAAGUUAUUAGGUGGAAAUUUUAGGCAACAAAUGUCAAAUUCUUUAUCUGACUUUAGGUUCAGAUCUUGGAAAUAGAAGGGAUUUGGAUUUCGUCAUCAAUCCUGAUUCAGGUCAAAAAAUUUAUGACAAAAAAAAAAAGAAAUUACAAAUAAUAAAAGCUUGAUUACCAUAUAUUUUUCAUUUCAUAUAUCAAAUAUGAUACAACUCAAACUUCUUAAUUAUGUAAUGAAAACACAGAUGAUCACGGCAAGAGACCACCACUCUUAUUAGCCAUUGAAGGAAAGUUUGGCAAAAAGCAAACAAGAAAAAUCAAAAUCACACCAUUAAAAGGGAUAUGAUAUGAAGAACAGCAAGCAGGAGCUGUGAAAUGAAAGCAACCUAGUUGUAGAGAUCAGGAUUUGCCAAGAGGUAAGCUUCAACAGCCUUGUACAUUCCUGACGCCCUUUCUUUGCCAGCCUUAAUUUGCUCUCUUUCAUUGAUCUCAAUGUCACCAAUGGUAUUAAUACUUGCUGGUGCUCUUGCAAAUUGAUCCUCCAUCCUGGUGCUGCCACAAACUUGGUCUCAUAACUGAUUUUCUCAAGUGUGUCAUUCAAAGCAUCUCCUUCGAUCAACACUGUAACUGUAUGAGAAGUUCUCCUUGCUAUUCCUUCAACCUUUUGUUUCACAUACUUGAAUUGGCUUGCCUACAUUUGUUACCAAGCCAAAACUUACAUACUAUUGUAUUUCUCAAAUUAGAAAAUGGAAAGGAAUUUCAUGUGGCAAGAAAUAAACUAACCUUCACCAAAAGUAAUCUUCUUUGAUACUUCCGGGCCCACCAAUCUCCUUCAAGGAGCUCAGAGCUCUGAUUAGCUUGUGCACAACCUUGGGGAAAAUGUUUAUCCACCGUCAAGAACCAAAGGCCUUGAACAAUCUGAACUGGGGGGAUUGAGGUAGCUACCUCCAUUUCAUAAGUGACAACACCCAUGAUUCUACACUAGGAGUUUGAAAAUAUCAAAUUUAAGAAGAUAAAACAGAGAGAAAAAAAGGAUGAUUAACUGAGUGUUUGAGGUGUGGGAAGAAGUGAUUUCUAAGAUGGUAUUUAUUUUUGCUAUACUUUCAAAGAAUUUGAG
This 12249-nucleotide long non-coding RNA is filed under the name Durio zibethinus. RNAcentral's name for it is "long non-coding RNA (DZIB_LNC000218)". The record is from RNAcentral. Lineage: Eukaryota; Viridiplantae; Streptophyta; Magnoliopsida; Malvales; Malvaceae.